Vitis riparia (riverbank grape) is the source of this 1470-nucleotide RNA transcript. RefSeq lists it as uncharacterized. The record is from RefSeq and is a predicted model, not a curated record. Lineage: Eukaryota; Viridiplantae; Streptophyta; Magnoliopsida; Vitales; Vitaceae. The transcript is spliced from 3 exons.
GGGGUUGGCUUCUGUGACUCUGUCGUUGUUUUCUAUUCUAAAUGGAAAUUGAGGAUAUAAAAUAAUGGUAGAUGAAGCAGAUCCCAAACAAACUAUCCCCAAUCACACACAUUUCCUGAUGAUAAAACCCAUGUAGCUGUUUCACAAGAGAGACCCUAAACCUACUUUGACUUCCUCGCCGAGAGCAACCAUUCACCCUUCUAACCAACGCCUUUGAAUUCUUUCUUUAAUUAUCAAGCAAUUCCAUCUCCUUUGUUGAGGAGAUCGCAGAAUCCCCAGGAGGGAAAAACUUUUGUUUUGGUUGUGUCCCUCAGCAAAUUCUGGCCUUUACUCCUAGUUAUGAUUUCAAGCACACCCAACAUCUUAUCAGCCUUAAAAACCCUCAAGUUUCGAUAUCAGUGACUUCUCCGCUGAAAAUUGAACAAACCCAGAUAGCUUUUUGGGGUUUCAAGAACACCCGGUUAGCGAUAUCUGAUUUGGUGUUUUAGGGAGCAUCCGAGAGUGAGUUUUCUGAUCUGGGUUUGUGGAUAUGAAUUUCAGAAGCAUGGAAGAGUUCUGGCCUUUCUAUGUCAAUCAGCACUCAAAGCCAGCCACAAGGCGUUGGCAUUUCGUGGGCACACUUACUGGCAUCUUCUUGUUGUUUUACUCGGUCUUCUUCAAUUGGUGGUGUGUGUUCCUCGUGCCCUUGUUUGGUUAUGGCUUCGCCUGGUACAGUCAUUUCUUCGUGGAAGGAAACGUCCCCGCCACAUUUGGGCAUCCAAUUUGGUCUCUUCUAUGUGAUUUCAAGAUGUUCGGUUUGAUGCUUACUGGCCAAAUGGAUAAAGAGAUCAAAAGACUUGGAAAGAGGCCCGUCUUGCAAGUGUUUUGAUUCUUAUUAUAAUUCUGAUUGAUGCACCCAGAAAACUUAAAUUGCAGCUGGAAUCUGAGAAUGGGUGAACUUUUUAGCAUCACGCUUUGAAGGAUGAGUACCUGGUACUAGAACACCUAAUAUAUAAACAUCCUAACCAGGUGAAGAUUGACCAUCUGCCGACGCACUUCCACUGUCACUUCGUUUUGUAAUAUAUGAGCUUGCUCUACCCACAGGCCACAAGAAGGGCAGAUGAUACCAUGCAGAUAUUUUCCCAGCUGUCGCCUUGGUGGGAAACUGAAUGACGGCAAACGAUAGGAUUAAAAGGAGACUGUACGCUUUUCAAAACUAUAACACAGGCCAGUUGCGACAACAAUUGCAAAUAAAGGAGAAAAGGAUGUUAAACGUGGGCUUUUCUUCAAACAGAACAAGCUUCUGCAAUGAAAAUGAAAAGAAUGGGGCAGGACAAUAAUUUGGAUUUGUUUGCAUCUAGGAAGCAAAUUCAAACUGUUAUCAAGUAGACCAAAACUCUUGGAAACCACUGGCAGUUGAAAUUUUCGAUCAUGAAAUGAUUUUCAAUCAGACAAAUGAGUUUAAUCCAGCUCAAUUAAUUUUUCUUCUAA